RNAcentral lists this ribosomal RNA (477 nucleotides) under Bacillus inaquosorum. RNAcentral describes it as "bacterial SSU rRNA". It matches the Rfam family "Bacterial small subunit ribosomal RNA", at positions 139 to 601 of the family's 1533-position model. Lineage: Bacteria; Bacillati; Bacillota; Bacilli; Caryophanales; Bacillaceae. The record is from RNAcentral.
UGGGAUAACUCCGGGAAACCGGGGCUAAUACCGGAUGGUUGUUUGAACCGCAUGGUUCAAACAUAAAAGGUGGCUUCGGCUACCACUUACAGAUGGACCCGCGGCGCAUUAGCUAGUUGGUGAGGUAACGGCUCACCAAGGCAACGAUGCGUAGCCGACCUGAGAGGGUGAUCGGCCACACUGGGACUGAGACACGGCCCAGACUCCUACGGGAGGCAGCAGUAGGGAAUCUUCCGCAAUGGACGAAAGUCUGACGGAGCAACGCCGCGUGAGUGAUGAAGGUUUUCGGAUCGUAAAGCUCUGUUGUUAGGGAAGAACAAGUACCGUUCGAAUAGGGCGGUACCUUGACGGUACCUAACCAGAAAGCCACGGCUAACUACGUGCCAGCAGCCGCGGUAAUACGUAGGUGGCAAGCGUUGUCCGGAAUUAUUGGGCGUAAAGGGCUCGCAGGCGGUUUCUUAAGUCUGAUGUGAAAGC